UAGAGUUUGAUCCUGGCUCAGAUUGAACGCUGGCGGCAGGCCUAACACAUGCAAGUCGAGCGGUAGCACAGAGAGCUUGCUCUCGGGUGACGAGCGGCGGACGGGUGAGUAAUGUCUGGGAAACUGCCUGAUGGAGGGGGAUAACUACUGGAAACGGUAGCUAAUACCGCAUAACGUCGCAAGACCAAAGAGGGGGACCUUCGGGCCUCUUGCCAUCAGAUGUGCCCAGAUGGGAUUAGCUAGUAGGUGGGGUAACGGCUCACCUAGGCGACGAUCCCUAGCUGGUCUGAGAGGAUGACCAGCCACACUGGAACUGAGACACGGUCCAGACUCCUACGGGAGGCAGCAGUGGGGAAUAUUGCACAAUGGGCGCAAGCCUGAUGCAGCCAUGCCGCGUGUAUGAAGAAGGCCUUCGGGUUGUAAAGUACUUUCAGCGAGGAGGAAGGCAUUGUGGUUAAUAACCGCAGUGAUUGACGUUACUCGCAGAAGAAGCACCGGCUAACUCCGUGCCAGCAGCCGCGGUAAUACGGAGGGUGCAAGCGUUAAUCGGAAUUACUGGGCGUAAAGCGCACGCAGGCGGUCUGUCAAGUCGGAUGUGAAAUCCCCGGGCUCAACCUGGGAACUGCAUUCGAAACUGGCAGGCUAGAGUCUUGUAGAGGGGGGUAGAAUUCCAGGUGUAGCGGUGAAAUGCGUAGAGAUCUGGAGGAAUACCGGUGGCGAAGGCGGCCCCCUGGACAAAGACUGACGCUCAGGUGCGAAAGCGUGGGGAGCAAACAGGAUUAGAUACCCUGGUAGUCCACGCCGUAAACGAUGUCGACUUGGAGGUUGUUCCCUUGAGGAGUGGCUUCCGGAGCUAACGCGUUAAGUCGACCGCCUGGGAGUACGGCCGCAAGGUUAAAACUCAAAUGAAUUGACGGGGGCCCGCACAAGCGGUGGAGCAUGUGGUUUAAUUCGAUGCAACGCGAAGAACCUUACCUACUCUUGACAUCCACGGAAUUUAGCAGAGAUGCUUUAGUGCCUUCGGGAACCGUGAGACAGGUGCUGCAUGGCUGUCGUCAGCUCGUGUUGUGAAAUGUUGGGUUAAGUCCCGCAACGAGCGCAACCCUUAUCCUUUGUUGCCAGCGGUUCGGCCGGGAACUCAAAGGAGACUGCCAGUGAUAAACUGGAGGAAGGUGGGGAUGACGUCAAGUCAUCAUGGCCCUUACGAGUAGGGCUACACACGUGCUACAAUGGCGCAUACAAAGAGAAGCGACCUCGCGAGAGCAAGCGGACCUCAUAAAGUGCGUCGUAGUCCGGAUUGGAGUCUGCAACUCGACUCCAUGAAGUCGGAAUCGCUAGUAAUCGUAGAUCAGAAUGCUACGGUGAAUACGUUCCCGGGCCUUGUACACACCGCCCGUCACACCAUGGGAGUGGGUUGCAAAAGAAGUAGGUAGCUUAACCUUCGGGAGGGCGCUUACCACUUUGUGAUUCAUGACUGGGGUGAAGUCGUAACCAAGGUAACC
RNAcentral lists this ribosomal RNA (1502 nucleotides) under uncultured soil bacterium. RNAcentral describes it as "bacterial SSU rRNA". It matches the Rfam family "Bacterial small subunit ribosomal RNA". The record is from RNAcentral.